AUUUUGUAUCCUUUGACCAACAUCUCCUCCCUGCCAAUAGAAUUGUUAUAAAUAAUCCAUGUUCUACUCAGCUCUGCAAAGUCUUUACCUCGGCCCAUGGGACUCUCUGUGGACUGGGUUUCUCGUUCUCUCCCCCACAUUGAACAAGCUGCAGCCUCAGUAACCGUAGCAGCUUGACUACUGGCACGUAGCUUGGAUUCAUUCAGCAUCGAGUACCUAGUACCUACUGAGCGCCUACGAUAUGCCAGACACUUUGCUAGGCACUGAGGGGACACAACACUGAGCAAGGCAGAAACAGCCUCUGUUCGAGAAGCUUACAGUCUAGCACAGGAAGACCAAAAAUAAACAAAUGGAAAAGUCAAUGUGUCUUAGAUAAGUGUUACAAAGAGGGGCCAGACAAUCUGGGCGAGGGGAGUAGAGAAUGUGGAGGUGGGGGUGAAAUUUUGUUCAGGGUGAGGACGACUGGGUGAUCAUGUGGCAUCUGAGGGGUGAGCUGGAGGAAGUGAGAGGACGAAGCCUGUGGACAUCUGGGAAGGAAGUGGCAAGAAGAGGGAAUAGCCCAUGGGAAGGCCCUGUGCGGCAGGGAGCUGGUUUGGCUGUUUCAGGAAGAACGAGGAGGCCGCUGUGGUGGAGCGUGGAAGGACAGAGGGCGGAGGCUGGGAGGGUUGGCGGGGCAGGUUCAUGGGGGCCUUGCAGGCCUCUGUCAGCACAUCUGCUUCCACUCUGAGUGAGGUGGGAAGACUUUGGUAGCUUCAAGGAGGGAGGUGAGGGAUGAGAUCUGACUUACCUGGCUGCUGCGGGGAGAACUGACUGCAGGGGCAAGGGUCAAAGCAGGGAGACCAGUCGGAAGGCUUCUGUGGUUGCCCAGGAAGGAGGGAAGGCGGCUGAGUACAUUCAUUCAUUGACUCAGUGAAUGAAAGAAUGAAUGAAUCCUUCUUCUGUUAUUAGCCAUUUAAGUCUCCAGUGUUGUGUUAACAUAAAUAAUACUAUAAGCAACAUCUCUGUACAUAAUGAUUUUUAUUAUUGUUGAUAUUUUGCUUUAGGAUUUCCCUUCAUAAUAGUUUCUCAAACGCAGAGCUGCUUGCUCAAAGGGGACAGAUAUUUCAAUGCUCCUAAAACAUGCUGUCAAAUUGCUUUCCAUAAAGUAUAGAAGGGCAUUAACAUUUUUAAAAAAAAUGUGCUAAGUUAAAAAGCCAGAAAGGACCUUUUGCCCUUUCUUCCAUUUGAGCAUGGGACCAUAACUUGCUUGGUUUAUCCUGCAGGCUUGUAGUGGCUGGAGGGGUUAGAGGCGGGGCGACAGGCUGGUCUCCUGGGGCUCGUCAGCUGGGAGUGGGUGACAGUGGAGGGUGCGAGCUCACCCUCAACAUGCUUCACAGCCCACGGAUGCCAGGGAGCAAAGGGGGCCGGGCCCUCCCUGCCUCUCUGUGACUUCUUCCUCUGGUCACCUCCUUCCUAGUCCAUUCUCUUCACUGACAGUUAGUGCCCCACACUUCCAUCCUUUCACGGAUCUUCAGAAGCUCCUCAUUCAGUCCCGUUUUCAGGCUUUUGUGGUACGUUCUGCUUUCCCAAGCAAUGGAUUCGUGUGGCCAGAAUUUUUGGUUUAUGAAAAUUCUUUACCUAAAAAUAUUAGAUGGCCAAAUCCUCCUCCUCCAAAAAGAGGGAAAGGCAAUUUCAGAUGAAGCAAUGAGAGAGAAGGAAGUUUGUUCCGGCUGUGCUGGGGGAUGGGUGGAGGCACUGCCACCAAACCGCAUUCUGCCCAAAUGGAGGUCAAGACUUUUCCCACUCUGAGCAAAGAAAGAGCUGCUGCAGAUAGCACCUCCUCCUCGCAGCUGCAACAAAAACCUGUGGGAAGGGGGUUUGGCUUUUUUUUUUUUAAGUGUUUCUUAUGGGCUGCAAAUUACAAAUUAUUCUCCUCUCCUUUCACCAAAUAAUCAACUGGUCCCUGAAUCUGAAAGCCCAGCACAAUUUAGUUUGAGUCUCAAAAUGCAGGGUCGGUUCAGCCCCGCUAAGGCUGCUCAGCUUUUAAUUUCUGGAGCAAGACUCAGCAAACAGUAAAACACUUUUGUGGAGCUGUGAACGCUGAGCUUCGCUGUGUGAUAAAUGAGCAGACAGGCAGGCAGCCCCUCUUUCUUUUUUUGUAUGGAUUCAAUGAAGCCUGCCUAAAGAACACCACAUGCUGUUCUAGCUACUGAUCUAACAUUCCGCAACAUCCCAGCCUUCCAAAUUCCCUUUAAUUACUCAUGAAUCCCACCCUUCUCUCUUUCAGCCUGGGCAGACAGAGCGGGGGGCUCCGUGGGGCUGGGGGUGGGAAGUGGAGCUCUGGAGAACCACUCUCUCCAGAGCUACUGGAAUUCUUUUUUAGGUGGAGGUGGUUGGUGGUCGUGUUACUCAUCUCUCCCGUCCAUUCUUCUCCCCAAACACCACACUCCAGGUUGAAGAUGAGGAAGGGAAAGAGUGAAAAGAGGAGCUGACAUCACUGAGCACCGCUAGGCACCAUGUCCUAAGUAAG
Microcebus murinus (gray mouse lemur) is the source of this 2509-nucleotide non-coding RNA. Lineage: Eukaryota; Metazoa; Chordata; Mammalia; Primates; Cheirogaleidae. The record is from RefSeq and is a predicted model, not a curated record.